Molecule: non-coding RNA, 19 nt
Filed under: Arabidopsis thaliana (thale cress)
Lineage: Eukaryota; Viridiplantae; Streptophyta; Magnoliopsida; Brassicales; Brassicaceae
Source: RNAcentral
UGUAGCUGAACGAAAGGUU